GUGGGGAAUUUUGGACAAUGGGGGCAACCCUGAUCCAGCCAUGCCGCGUGCGGGAAGAAGGCCUUCGGGUUGUAAACCGCUUUUAGCCGGGACGAAAGCUGUACGGAUAACACCCGUGCAGGUUGACGGUACCGGCGGAAUAAGCACCGGCUAACUACGUGCCAGCAGCCGCGGUAAUACGUAGGGUGCGAGCGUUAAUCGGAAUUACUGGGCGUAAAGCGUGCGCAGGCGGUUCGUUGUGUCGGCGGUGAAAGCCCCGGGCUCAACCUGGGAAUGGCCGUUGAAACUGGCGAACUGGAGUGUGGCAGAGGGGGGUGGAAUUCCGCGUGUAGCAGUGAAAUGCGUAGAGAUGCGGAGGAACACCGAUGGCGAAGGCAGCCCCCUGGGCUGACACUGACGCUCAGGCACGAAAGCGUGGGGAGCAAACAGGAUUAGAAACCCCAGUAGUCC
This 450-nucleotide ribosomal RNA is filed under the name uncultured bacterium. RNAcentral describes it as "bacterial SSU rRNA". It matches the Rfam family "Bacterial small subunit ribosomal RNA", at positions 354 to 796 of the family's 1533-position model. The record is from RNAcentral.